Molecule: ribosomal RNA, 497 nt
Filed under: uncultured bacterium
Lineage: Bacteria
Description: partial 16S ribosomal RNA
Rfam family: Bacterial small subunit ribosomal RNA
Source: RNAcentral
GACGAACGCUGGCGGCGUGCCUAAUACAUGCAAGUAGAACGCUGAAGAGAGGAGCUUGCUCUUCUUGGAUGAGUUGCGAACGGGUGAGUAACGCGUAGGUAACCUGCCUUGUAGCGGGGGAUAACUAUUGGAAACGAUAGCUAAUACCGCAUAACAAUGGAUGAAACAUGUCAUUUAUUUGAAAGGGGCAAUUGCUCCACUACAAGAUGGACCUGCGUUGUAUUAGCUAGUAGGUGAGGUAAUGGCUCACCUAGGCGACGAUACAUAGCCGACCUGAGAGGGUAAUCGGCCACACUGGGACUGAGACACGGCCCAGACUCCUACGGGAGGCAGCAGUAGGGAAUCUUCGGCAAUGGGGGCAACCCUGACCGAGCAACGCCGCGUGAGUGAAGAAGGUUUUCGGAUCGUAAAGCUCUGUUGUAAGUCAAGAACGGGUGUGAGAGUGGAAAGUUCACACUGUGACGGUAGCUUACCAGAAAGGGACGGCUAACUACGUG